This is a long non-coding RNA of Salvia miltiorrhiza (redroot sage), 692 nucleotides long. RefSeq lists it as uncharacterized. The transcript is spliced from 2 exons. The record is from RefSeq and is a predicted model, not a curated record. NCBI's taxonomy places the organism in Eukaryota, Viridiplantae, Streptophyta, Magnoliopsida, Lamiales, Lamiaceae.
ACACACAAAGAAGCUGCGCCUCUCUCUCCCUCGGACGUCUGCCCGGCGCCGCCGUCGCCGCCGGCGAGCGGCGCGGCCUCUCCCUCUCACCCCCUCGGUCUCCUCUUCUCUCCCUCUCGUUUCUCUGUUCUCCUUUCACCUCUAUCUCUCUCGCUCACUCUACCACCGGAAACAGGGCAAGAGAUGCCGCCGCCUCUUCUUCACCUCCACGGCGGAACGGCCGCCCCCUGUUCUCCCUCUCUCUCUAUCUCUAACUCUCAACAUCAUCUCGGUCUCUCUCUCUAACUCUCACUGACACACACGCCGGCAGACACGGCGAAAGCCGCGCCGCCGCGUCGUCCUCCCCUUCGCCGGUGGACAGACGGCCAGGAGCCGUAGAGGAAUCGCCGUCGCCGGAGACAUCCCAGAACGGAACCACGGCAGGUUCACCGCCGCCGCUCCGUCGCCGGCGACGAGCCACCACGGCUGCCGCCUCCCUCUGAUCUCGACUCACACACACACAGCAGGGUCAAGCUCUUAUUCAGUUUAAAAAAAAGACAUAGAGAAAUUAGCACAAAUUCAAUUACUAAACUGUAUACUCUUUGUAUUUUCUUUAAAAGUCUGUAAUUUAAGCAAAUCAUUGUAUCCUUGCAUGUAUAUUUGUAAUAGGUUUCAAAGAAAAAGUAUACACGCAUAUAAGAAUUACUAAGCAA